AAUUAUAAUUUUUUUAAAAAAUUAAUUUAAUAUAGUUAAUGAGCUUGAAUAAGCAUAU
RNAcentral lists this transfer RNA (58 nucleotides) under Dicrotendipes sp. A MEC-2013. RNAcentral's name for it is "partial tRNA-Ser". The record is from RNAcentral. Lineage: Eukaryota; Metazoa; Arthropoda; Insecta; Diptera; Chironomidae.